GGGCUUGCGUCUGAUUAGUUAGUUGGUGGGGUAAUAGCCUACCAAGGCGAUGAUCGGUAGCUGGUCUGAGAGGAUGGUCAGCCAGAUGGGGACUGAGAUACGGCCCCAACUCCUACGGGAGGCAGCAGCAAGGAAUUUUGGGCAAUGGGCGAAAGCCUGACCCAGCGACACCGCGUGAGGGAAGAAGGCCUUCGGGUUGUAAACCUCUUUUCUUGGGGAAGUGACGGUACCCAAGGAAUAAGUCUCGGCUAACUACGUGCCAGCAGCCGCGGUAAUACGUGGGAGGCGAACGUUAUCCGGAUUUACUGGGCGUAAAGGGGGUGUAGGCGGCCUUUUAAGUCAGGUGUGAAAUUUUUCGACUUAAUCGGAAAGGGUCAUCUGAUACUGGAAGGCUUGAGGGCGGCAGAAGGAAAUGGAAUUCCCGGUGUAGCGGUGAAAUGCGUAGAU
This 447-nucleotide ribosomal RNA is filed under the name uncultured bacterium. RNAcentral describes it as "bacterial SSU rRNA". It matches the Rfam family "Bacterial small subunit ribosomal RNA", at positions 227 to 695 of the family's 1533-position model. The record is from RNAcentral.